GCAGGCUGCAACUCGCCUGCAUGAAGUCGGAAUUGCUAGUAAUCGCGGAUCAGCAUGCCGCGGUGAAUACGUUCUCGGGCCUUGUACACACCGCCCGUCACACCAUGGGAGUCCGGUAACACCCGAAGUCUGUAGCCUGACGCAAGAGGGCGCAGCCGAAGGUGGGAUUGAUGACUGGGGUGAAGUCGUAACAAGGUAGC
Molecule: ribosomal RNA, 200 nt
Filed under: uncultured bacterium
Lineage: Bacteria
Description: partial 16S ribosomal RNA
Rfam family: Bacterial small subunit ribosomal RNA
Source: RNAcentral